RNAcentral lists this ribosomal RNA (279 nucleotides) under uncultured prokaryote. RNAcentral's name for it is "partial 16S ribosomal RNA". It matches the Rfam family "Bacterial small subunit ribosomal RNA", at positions 355 to 646 of the family's 1533-position model. The record is from RNAcentral.
GGAGGAAUAUUGGGCAAUGGGGGAAACCCUGACCCAGCAACGCCGCGUGAAGGAAGAAGGCCUUCGGGUUGUAAACUUCUGUGACAGGGGACGAAAGCAAUGACGGUACCCUGGGAGGAAGCCACGGCAAACUACGUGCCAGCAGCCGCGGUAAUACGUAGGUGGCGAGCGUUGUCCGGAAUCACUGGGCGUAAAGGGCGCGUAGGCGGUUUUGCAAGUCGCAUGUGAAAGACCAGGGCUUAACCUUGGGAGGUCAUGCGAAAGCGUGGGGAGCAAACA